AUUGAACGCUGGCGGCAGGCCUAACACAUGCAAGUCGGGCGAGCGGCGGACGUGUGCGUAAUGUAUGGGGAUCUGCCUGAUGGAGGGGGAUCACUACUUGAAACGGUAACUAAUACCACCUACCAUCAGAUGAACCCAUAUGGGAUUAGCUUUUAGGUAAGGUAAAGGCUUACCUAGGCGACGAUCCCUAGCUGGUCUGAGAGGAUGAUCAGCCAGCCUGGGACUGAUACACGGCCCAGACUGAUGCGGGAGGCAGCAGUGGGGAGUAGUGGACCAAGGCCGCAAGCCUGAGGCAGCCAUGCCGCGUGUAUGAAGACGGCCUUCGGGUUGUAAAGGACUGUCAGUGGAGAGGCGUGACCGACAGAAGAAGCACCGGCUAGCUCCGUGACAGCAGCCGCGGUAAUAC
RNAcentral lists this ribosomal RNA (406 nucleotides) under uncultured bacterium. Its description in RNAcentral is "partial 16S ribosomal RNA". It matches the Rfam family "Bacterial small subunit ribosomal RNA", at positions 30 to 526 of the family's 1533-position model. The record is from RNAcentral.